UCUAAGGAGGAGAAGUCUAAUGAACGACCUUCAGAACAGGACGCGAAUUUAAGAAUCGCUUGGCAAUAUAAGAAGUACUUUGGGGAACAAACAGAGGUCCAAAGAGGUGGGAAAGCUGAAUAUUGCAACGACUUUGACUUACGAAAGCCCCUAGAAAGGCACUUCUAUAGUGGACAGCGGGUUGAUUGCAUUAGUCUUCGAGAUUCUCCUAAUCUAGUGCCUCUACUUGAACGAUGCUCAACCUUUUCAGCUCAAAUAUCAAAAUCUGAUGGCAACAUCACAUGUGCCG
Molecule: unclassified non-coding RNA, 289 nt
Filed under: Hevea brasiliensis (rubber tree)
Lineage: Eukaryota; Viridiplantae; Streptophyta; Magnoliopsida; Malpighiales; Euphorbiaceae
Source: RNAcentral